CACAGCAUUAGGAAGGGUGAGAACCACUGAUACACAAAGGAAAUGCGAGAUUAGUCCCAGGAGGCUCUGGGUAAUAAUAGUAGCCUUUGUUGAGGCUUUCUGUUUUCCAAGACACCAAUUUCUCUCCAUGCUCUGGGCCAGUUCUCAAUGGAAAGAGAAUCCCAGACGAUGGUGACUCAGUUUCUGGCAACAGGCUUUGCAGGAACAGUCAGAGUUGUAGGUAUGGAAUACAACGCUCAAGAUCAAGUACACUCUGGAACAGAGGUCAUCAGACUUCAGACUUGUUUCCUCACUUCAGAGAUGCUGUCUCUGCCUGCUGUACAUUGUGGAUACUCCUCUUCUGCAGGAUCCCAGCACCAUGAUGCUGUGCCCAGGGGCAUGCACCAAACAACCAUCAAAUAAAUCCUGUAAAACCAUGAGUCAAAACAAGAACUUCAAUACUUUAAAGUCAUUUCUAUCAAAUACUUUACUCAAAACUAUGCCCCCCCCCAAAAAAAGCCCAAUACACCUUGUAAUAUGACUGCCUAGUUGGGUUUGAGAUUAUAAUACACAAAGACACACAAAUAUUGGUUCUAUCUAAGUCUCCAGUUGGCAUCUGAAACAGGAGACAGUCUUAUGGGACUAAGUUUUAAUUUGUAGGAACGAGGAAGUCCAGAGAAGUCAGGGUAAUUAUUGUCUCAGGUG
RNAcentral lists this long non-coding RNA (684 nucleotides) under Mus spicilegus (steppe mouse). Its description in RNAcentral is "lncRNA (ENSMSIG00000015994.1)". The record is from RNAcentral. Lineage: Eukaryota; Metazoa; Chordata; Mammalia; Rodentia; Muridae.